CGGGUACUUGUGUUAUAAGGUUUGCAUAUAGGGGUUCCUUUGUAACGUCCCGACAACUUACAGGGACUGAUUACUACUCCCACACAUCACCACGAGGCUUUCCAGUGUGCUUUGUCCUCACUUGCACACUUUCCGGGAAAACUUCCCGGAAGGUCACCCAUCCCAGAAUUACUCAACGUCCCGACAGCUUACAGGGACUGAUGACUUCC
Molecule: long non-coding RNA, 209 nt
Filed under: Vigna radiata
Lineage: Eukaryota; Viridiplantae; Streptophyta; Magnoliopsida; Fabales; Fabaceae
Description: long non-coding RNA (VRAD_LNC012074)
Source: RNAcentral